RNAcentral lists this ribosomal RNA (244 nucleotides) under uncultured Staphylococcus sp. RNAcentral's name for it is "partial 16S ribosomal RNA". It matches the Rfam family "Bacterial small subunit ribosomal RNA", at positions 96 to 334 of the family's 1533-position model. Lineage: Bacteria; Bacillati; Bacillota; Bacilli; Caryophanales; Staphylococcaceae. The record is from RNAcentral.
CGGCGGACGGGUGAGUAACACGUGGAUAACCUACCUAUAAGACUGGGAUAACUUCGGGAAACCGGAGCUAAUACCGGAUAAUAUAUUGAACCGCAUGGUUCAAUAGUGAAAGACGGUUUUGCUGUCACUUAUAGAUGGAUCCGCGUCGCAUUAGCUAGUUGGUAAGGUAACGGCUUACCAAGGCAACGAUGCGUAGCCGACCUGAGAGGGUGAUCGGCCACACUGGAACUUAGACACGGUCCAG